UACGAAGGGGGCUAGCGUUGCUCGGAAUCACUGGGCGUAAAGCGCACGUAGGCGGAUUGCUAAGUCAGGGGGGAAAUCCUGGAGCUCAACUCCAGAACUGCCUUUGAUACUGGCGAUCUCGAGUCCGGGAGAGGUGAGUGGAACUGCGAGUGUAGAGGUGAAAUUCGUAGAUAUUCGCAAGAACACCAGUGGCGAAGGCGGCUCACUGGCCCGGUACUGACGCUGAGGUGCGAAAGCGUGGGGAGCAAACAGG
RNAcentral lists this ribosomal RNA (253 nucleotides) under uncultured bacterium. RNAcentral's name for it is "partial 16S ribosomal RNA". It matches the Rfam family "Bacterial small subunit ribosomal RNA", at positions 524 to 776 of the family's 1533-position model. The record is from RNAcentral.